RNAcentral lists this ribosomal RNA (658 nucleotides) under uncultured archaeon. RNAcentral's name for it is "bacterial SSU rRNA". It matches the Rfam family "Archaeal small subunit ribosomal RNA", at positions 1 to 661 of the family's 1478-position model. The record is from RNAcentral.
UUCGCCCUUGGUUGAUCCUGCCGGACCUGACUGCUAUCGGAUUGAUACUAAGCCAUGCGAGUCAUUGUAGCAAUACAAGGCAGACGGCUCAGUAACGCGUAGUCAACCUAACCUAUGGACGGGAAUAACCUCGGGAAACUGAGAAUAAUGCCCGAUAGAACACUAUACCUGGAAUGGUUUGUGUUCCAAAUGAUUUAUCGCCGUAGGAUGGGACUGCGGCCUAUCAGUUUGUUGGUGAGGUAAUGGCCCACCAAGACUAUUACAGGUACGGGCUCUGAGAGGAGUAGCCCGGAGAUGGGUACUGAGACACGGACCCAGGCCCUAUGGGGCGCAGCAGGCGAGAAAACUUUGCAAUGUGCGAAAGCACGACAAGGUUAAUCCGAGUGAUUUGUGCUAAACGAAUCUUUUGUUAGUCCUAGAACCACUAACGAAUAAGGGGUGGGCAAGUUCUGGUGUCAGCCGCCGCGGUAAAACCAGCACCUCAAGUGGUCAGGAUGAUUAUUGGGCCUAAAGCAUCCGUAGCCGGCUCUGUAAGUUUUCGGUUAAAUCUGUACGCUUAACGUACAGGCUGCCGGGGAUACUGCAGAGCUAGGGAGUGGGAGAGGUAGACGGUACUCGGUAGGAAGGGGUAAAAUCCUUUGAUCUAUUGAUGACCACC